UUAGAAAACUCUUGCUCAAUGAGUGACAGCUCGAGCAUUUUGGUUGUCCUGAAAGAAUAUCUUCUAAGCGAUUCCAAGCUUCUACUGCAGUCGAGUUGGGUUCCAGGAUAGUGGUCAGCAAAUCAGUAGAAAUGGUGGAAUAAAUCCACUGGAGAACGGUGGCAUCAAGAGUGGUCCAUUGUUCAUGCUCGGCAUCGGUAGGGGCU
This 206-nucleotide long non-coding RNA is filed under the name Lathyrus oleraceus (garden pea). Its description in RNAcentral is "Pisum sativum (pea) long non-coding RNA (PSAT_LNC007091)". Lineage: Eukaryota; Viridiplantae; Streptophyta; Magnoliopsida; Fabales; Fabaceae. The record is from RNAcentral.